GCAGAGAUGGCGCAGUGGUUAAGAGCACUGACUGCUCUUCCAGAGGUCCUGAGUUCAAUUCCCAGCAACCACA
RNAcentral lists this transfer RNA (73 nucleotides) under Mus musculus (house mouse). RNAcentral's name for it is "tRNA-Ser". Lineage: Eukaryota; Metazoa; Chordata; Mammalia; Rodentia; Muridae. The record is from RNAcentral.